GAUGAACGCUGGCGGCGUGCCUAAUACAUGCAAGUCGAGCGAACAGACGAGGAGCUUGCUCCUCUGACGUUAGCGGCGGACGGGUGAGUAAAACGUGGAUAACCUACCUAUAAGACUGGGAUAACUUCGGGAAACCGGAGCUAAUACCGGAUAAUAUAUUGAACCGCAUGGUUCAAUAGUGAAAGACGGUUUUGCUGUCACUUAUAGAUGGAUCCGCGCCGCAUUAGCUAGUUGGUAAGGUAACGGCUUACCAAGGCAACGAUGCGUAGCCGACCUGAGAGGGUGAUCGGCCACACUGGAACUGCGACACGGUCCAGACUCUUACGGGAGGCAGCAGUAGGGAAUCUUCCGCAAUGGGCGAAAGCCUGACGGAGCAACGCCGCGUGAGUGAUGAAGGUCUUCGGAUCGUAAAACUCUGUUAUUAGGGAAGAACAAAUGUGUAAGUAACUAUGCACGUCUUGACGGUACCUAAUCAGAAAGCCACGGCUAACUACGUG
Molecule: ribosomal RNA, 497 nt
Filed under: uncultured bacterium
Lineage: Bacteria
Description: partial 16S ribosomal RNA
Rfam family: Bacterial small subunit ribosomal RNA
Source: RNAcentral